AUUGAACGCUGGCGGCAGGCCUAACACAUGCAAGUCGAGCGGUAGAGAGGUGCUUGCAUCUCUUGAGAGCGGCGGACGGGUGAGUAAUGCCUAGGAAUCUGCCUAGUGGUGGGGGAUAACGUUCGGAAACGGACGCUAAUACCGCAUACGUCCUACGGGAGAAAGCGGGGGAUCUUCGGACCUCGCGCCAUUAGAUGAGCCUAGGUCGGAUUAGCUAGUUGGUGAGGUAAUGGCUCACCAAGGCGACGAUCCGUAACUGGUCUGAGAGGAUGAUCAGUCACACUGGAACUGAGACACGGUCCAGGACUCCUACGGGAGGCAGCAGUGGGGAAUAUUGGACAAUGGGCGAAAGCCUGAUCCAGCCAUGCCGCGUGUGUGAAGAAGGUCUUCGGAUUGUAAAGCACUUUAAGUUGGGAGGAAGGGUAGUAACCUAAUACGUUAG
RNAcentral lists this ribosomal RNA (442 nucleotides) under uncultured bacterium. Its description in RNAcentral is "bacterial SSU rRNA". It matches the Rfam family "Bacterial small subunit ribosomal RNA", at positions 30 to 472 of the family's 1533-position model. The record is from RNAcentral.